CCUACGGGAGGCAGCAGUGAGGAAUAUUGGUCAAUGGCCGAGAGGCUGAACCAGCCAAGUCGCGUGAGGGAAGACGGCCCUACGGGUUGUAAACCUCUUUUGUCGGGGAGCAAAGCGAGUCACGUGUGACUCAUUGAGAGUACCCGAAGAAAAAGCAUCGGCUAACUCCGUGCCAGCAGCCGCGGUAAUACGGAGGAUGCGAGCGUUAUCCGGAUUUAUUGGGUUUAAAGGGUGCGUAGGCGGUCCGGAAAGUCAGCGGUAAAAGCCCGGGGCUCAACCCCGGCGAGCCGUUGAAACUGUCGGAG
Molecule: ribosomal RNA, 305 nt
Filed under: uncultured bacterium
Lineage: Bacteria
Description: bacterial SSU rRNA
Rfam family: Bacterial small subunit ribosomal RNA
Source: RNAcentral